Long non-coding RNA from Myotis brandtii (Brandt's bat), 116 nucleotides. RefSeq lists it as uncharacterized. Lineage: Eukaryota; Metazoa; Chordata; Mammalia; Chiroptera; Vespertilionidae. The transcript has 3 exons. The record is from RefSeq and is a predicted model, not a curated record.
UUAAUAAAUGAUGUGGGGAAUGUUGGACAGAUAUGUGCCAAAAAAGUAAAACUACAUCACCUUCUUAUACCAUACAUAAGAAUAAACUCAAAAUGGAUUAAAGACUUAAAAUUUUA